GGUAUAGCCAGGUUCGGUAUUAAAAAAGCAAGUGCAAAUAAUUGGGGUAUUGUGUCAAUCAUUGUAGUCACGUGUGAAACUUGCCAUGGACACUAGCACAGCAAGCAUGUGGUGUGUUACCACCGUUGCCAGUAGCGACCACAGCAGUCCAAGGGUAACUCGCUGGUACACCCACGUAGGAAGGCUUGUAAGUUUUUGUAUGAUUUUGUUUAUUUGUUAAAACUGUUGAAAAAAGAGGUCCAAUCUUACAUGCUAAAAAAACAUGCGGCAUUAUAUAAAGCUUCAUCACGUGAUUAGGGUAUUAUAUAAUGUUUCAUAACGUUUCAUGUUCGUUAUUAUGUUUUUUUUAUCUAUUAAACUCCAAUAUUUGCCAGGGUACAACUUCUGUUCCCUGACCAUACGCUUCAGGUUUGUUUGGUGUAUUGCCCUGGGGUAGAAAGCCCCUCUCACGUUUUCAAGAAGGUCAACCGAUAGAACAACAUGUGUAUUGAAUAUUGAUGAGUGGGAUUCCAUGCGGUUUAUAGCAAAGAUGUCCUGAGGAUGGAAGUUUCAAGAUAGAAUCAAAUCAUAGCAGGUGAUUAAUUGAGCGCAAUCAUGAACAAUUCUACACGGCAGGCUAGACAUUUCUAUCUUCGGAUUUUUUUAAUAGUGUUCAACGAGAAUCGAAAGAGAUUGCGCCCGCCUCGUUUCGCUAGACCCACCAAAAUAUCUGUGGUUUGUGCAAAAGCUUCCCAUUAGCGUCCCAGACAAGUUGUCUGUUUACAUGAGCGGCCACUAAACUGACGACAGUAAUUACUUUGCGUAAAACCCAUUCUAUUUUGCUAUUGAAGUCUUGGCCUGUGCUUAGGACAGCAAGUAUUUAUCGCAAGUCGUUUUUGUAAACGAGCUGCUAAAUACACGAUUACACAGCCAGUUAUACGCUUAUUGCAGAAAUAAUCACAGAUAGGGCAUUAAAUUAUGGAAGAGGGUAAAUGAAAGGCUACCGCUCAUUUAGCUUACGCAAGACCUUGAGCGCAAGACCAUAUAGCGUUAUUCUCAACCCAUCACGUCUAUCUGUUGGGAUUAUUUUUAAUAAAGAUCUUAUUAUUUUUACUGCUGAUCGAUACAAUUUACUAAAUUCCACUGCAAAUGCUAUGGCAAAGUAUAUCAAAUUAAGCCAUGGAAUAUCACUGUAUUUAGAAACAAACAGAUAAAAUAUAAUGUAAUGAGUCAUGGCAACAAUGUCCUAGCUGUGACUAGUGAAUUCUUGCUUCACAGUAGGAUAAAAACCAUUCAAUUCCAAGAAGCAUCAUAAUUUGUAAAACUCAACAAGAGAUCUAUAGUCUAAACAACCGAUGGAGCGUUACGUGAGUUGUCUUUUCAAAUGACCUCCAAAUUUUUCUUGAUUAUUUGAUAAUUUAUAAACUAGUGCAGAUAUAGAGUGCUAGGAACACAAUUUUUACGAAGAAGCCUUUUUUUAAGAUUAGUAUGGUAUCUCUAUUAGGCGAUUAUCCUUGGGCCCCGAGACAAGCAUCCGUUGAUAUCUAAAUACUGCAGCAUUUUAAUAAAAACCAAAUAUAUUUCGGGCUCUAUAUAGUGGUUGCCUGAAAAGAUGCAGCAUUUUAAUGAAAAGCAAAUCUCUUUUGAGUUCUAUAUAGUGGUCGCCUGAAAAGAGGUUGGCUGCUUGAUCAAGGUACCGCCAGUGCCAUACUUCGAGAAUCUGUGCCGUAACAUCAAAGCGUCAAGGUAUCAAAUAAAUGGGCAAAUCUUAUACGUUAACAUUCGGUUCAGUUGAAAAUCUUUGAAAAUUCGAUUAAGUUGAAAGUAUUUGAAAGGAUGCGUCAUCGAAAUUGCCCGAAGGGCAGACUACAAUUGUAAAGCAGCAUGAAACUUGAGAUAAAAAACAUGAGUCAAACUUUGUUUUGGUUAUAAAUUCCAUAGCAGUAAAACUGUCGGUGUCCAACCAACUGCAUAGGGGAGGGCAUUGUGUUCUAGUGAUCCGUGCGUGUCCAAUAAUGCAUACCGCAAAAUACAAAAAUAAGCAGCGAAAACAGUUCGGUGUUCAUUCUCACCAAGUGCUGUUCAGGUAGAGUGUGGGAAAUGGCUAAGAUGAGGCGCAUCUGUGUGGUUGCGCUUUUGAUUUCAUUCGCUAUUUCCGUCAAUACACAGAACUCGACAACAGCCACUUCGAUAAUAACGUCAUCUAGCAGUGUGGCGCCAUCUACAACAGACUCCAGUAGUGUGACACCAUCUACAACAUCGAAA
Nematostella vectensis (starlet sea anemone) is the source of this 2244-nucleotide long non-coding RNA. RefSeq lists it as uncharacterized. The record is from RefSeq and is a predicted model, not a curated record. Lineage: Eukaryota; Metazoa; Cnidaria; Anthozoa; Actiniaria; Edwardsiidae. The transcript has 2 exons.